RNAcentral lists this ribosomal RNA (529 nucleotides) under Halomonas sp. RNAcentral describes it as "bacterial SSU rRNA". It matches the Rfam family "Bacterial small subunit ribosomal RNA", at positions 1 to 526 of the family's 1533-position model. Lineage: Bacteria; Pseudomonadati; Pseudomonadota; Gammaproteobacteria; Oceanospirillales; Halomonadaceae. The record is from RNAcentral.
UCAGAGUUUGAUCCUGGCUCAGAUUGAACGCUGGCGGCAGGCUUAACACAUGCAAGUCGAGCGGAAACGAUUCUAGCUUGCUAGAAGGCGUCGAGCGGCGGACGGGUGAGUAAUGCAUGGGAAUCUGCCCGAUAGUGGGGGACAACCUGGGGAAACUCAGGCUAAUACCGCAUACGUCCUACGGGAGAAAGCAGGGGAUCUUCGGACCUUGCGCUAUCGGAUGAGCCCAUGUCGGAUUAGCUUGUUGGUGAGGUAACGGCUCACCAAGGCGACGAUCCGUAGCUGGUCUGAGAGGAUGAUCAGCCACACUGGGACUGAGACACGGCCCAGACUCCUACGGGAGGCAGCAGUGGGGAAUAUUGGACAAUGGGCGAAAGCCUGAUCCAGCCAUGCCGCGUGUGUGAAGAAGGCCUUCGGGUUGUAAAGCACUUUCAGCGAGGAAGAACGCUUCGGGAUUAAUACUCCCGAGGAAAGACAUCACUCGCAGAAGAAGCACCGGCUAACUCCGUGCCAGCAGCCGCGGUAAUAC